Plutella xylostella (diamondback moth) is the source of this 80-nucleotide small nucleolar RNA. RefSeq annotates it as small nucleolar RNA U3. The record is from RefSeq and is a predicted model, not a curated record. NCBI's taxonomy places the organism in Eukaryota, Metazoa, Arthropoda, Insecta, Lepidoptera, Plutellidae.
AAGACCCUUACUUCAUAGGAUCAUUUCUAUAGUAAGCUCUUCCCGAGAUCUUCACAAUACCAACACUAUCAGCUGUAAGU